Molecule: unclassified non-coding RNA, 657 nt
Filed under: Hevea brasiliensis (rubber tree)
Lineage: Eukaryota; Viridiplantae; Streptophyta; Magnoliopsida; Malpighiales; Euphorbiaceae
Source: RNAcentral
GUUGGGGGAGCGACUUUUUAUCUCGACUUUCUUUCUUUUUUUUCUUUUUUCUAGGGUUUAGAUCCUUUGUUUCUGCUGCACCAGGCGGCCUUCCUCUGCUCUUCCUCGUUCCGGGUAGGGUUGUGAUUUAGAAUAAGUUGUGUUUUGUGGUAGAUCCAAAGCUUUUUGGGUGAGGGUUUCCUUUAGAUCUGCACUGAUUUUGCUCCAAUAGAGGCGAGCUGCUUAUUUCUUCUGUUACGGUGCAAUGGCCACAGUUCUGUUAAGCUAUGGUUGAGGGGUCUUUUUUUUCAGUGUGGAUGGUUAUCGCAGGGGUUUUUAGCCAACCUCCUUCUUGGUGGCCGACCUUCAAGGCCAAUAGAUGUUAGUGCUGGUGAACUCUGCCUCCAUUCCCUUUGAAGGUUAUCGUAGAUAGCUGUGUGUUUUGGAUAUCGAGUUUGGUUGACUAGUUGGGUUUGAGUCUCGGCUAUGGCUUUGUUAAACAUGCAAGCUUGGUUACCAUGGAUGCCUAUGUUUUCUUCUCGCAACGGCCAAACAGUUCUGGCUCAAGAGACCAACGGCCCUGUAAGGGAUGAUGGAUGCUGAGCUCUUUAGUUUUUUAUCUGGGUUAUGUGUUUAUGUAGAGAUUGUCUUUUGAGGCCCUUUGCGCUACUUCUGGAA